Molecule: long non-coding RNA, 328 nt
Filed under: Cricetulus griseus (Chinese hamster)
Lineage: Eukaryota; Metazoa; Chordata; Mammalia; Rodentia; Cricetidae
Description: lncRNA (ENSCGRG00015040505.1)
Source: RNAcentral
UGACAUUAUUAUCCAGAAUGGUGUAACAUGUCCAUUUGGCACAUAUCCACACAUGAACCAUUUUAUGUUGAUAUCAAGUCAUCUUUUAUUAAAAUUCCCAUCUUUAAUAUCUGAACACAUUCUGGAGUGGGAAAUUCAUUGAGUCCACUGGAUGGUGUAAGAAUUAAUCUACUGGUUCUGUCGAUCACCUGUUCAGGAGUCCAUCUCAGCUGGAAGACUGGUUCACCUACAGACAUACUAGGAUUGGAGAGAAAUGAUUACUCCCUUAGUGUAAUCAUGCAUGUUUCCUUCAGAUGCCCCUCUGUUGGUGCAGACUUGCAGAGCUUCC